RNAcentral lists this ribosomal RNA (376 nucleotides) under uncultured eukaryote. RNAcentral describes it as "partial 18S ribosomal RNA". It matches the Rfam family "Eukaryotic small subunit ribosomal RNA", at positions 592 to 976 of the family's 1831-position model. The record is from RNAcentral.
CAAGAGCGUAUAUUAAAGUUGCUGCGGUUAAAAAGCUCGUAGUUGGAUUUCAGUCUAGGAAGGUUAACUCGCCGAAAGGUUGUACGUUGAUUUUCCUCAGACUUCGUCAGAAGCUCGUGCUGCACUUAACUGUGUGGUACGAUGUUCUGACCUUUUACCUUGAGGAAAGUAGAGUGUUUCAGGCAGGCUACCCAGCUUGAAUACAUUAGCAUGGAAUAAUGAAAUGGAUCUCGGUUCGAUUUCGUUGGUUCUAGAGCUGGGGUGAUGAUCAAUAGGAACGGGCGAAGGUAUUCGUACUUGAGAGUGAGGAGUGAAAUCCGAUGAUCUCUUAAAGACGAUCCGAGGCGAAAGCAUUUGUCAAGGAUGUUUUCAUUGA